This 417-nucleotide ribosomal RNA is filed under the name uncultured bacterium. Its description in RNAcentral is "bacterial SSU rRNA". It matches the Rfam family "Bacterial small subunit ribosomal RNA", at positions 362 to 775 of the family's 1533-position model. The record is from RNAcentral.
UAUUGGACAAUGGACGCGAGUCUGAACCAGCCAAGUAGCGUGAAGGAUGACUGCACUGUGGGUUGUAAACUUCUUUUAUAUGGGAAUANAGUUUUCCACGUGUGGAAUUUUGUAUGUACCAUAUGAAUAAGGAUCGGCUAACUCCGUGCCAGCAGCCGCGGUAAUACGGAGGAUCCGAGCGUUAUCAGGAUUUAUUGGGUUUAAAGGUAGCGUAGGUGGACAGUUAAGUCAGUUGUGAAAGUUUGCGGCUCAACCGUAAAAUUGCAGUUGAUACUGGCUGUCUUGAGUACAGUAGGGGUGGGCGGAAUUCGUGGUGUAGCGGUGAAAUGCUUAGAUAUCACGAAGAACUCCGAUUGCGAAGGCAGCUCACUGGACUGUUGACUGACACUGAGGCUCGAAAGUGUGGGUAUCAAACAG